GACGUAGGUGGCGAACGUUAUCCGGAAUUAUUGGGCGUAAAGGGUGCGUAGCUGGCCUGACAAGUUAGCAGUGGGAAAUCGAGGCUCAACCUCGUGGAAACUGAUAAUACUGUCUGGCUCGAGUACAGGAGAGGUUAACGGAACUCCAUGUGGAGCGGUAAAAUGUGUAGAUAUAUGGAAGAACACCAAUAACGGCGAAGGCAGUUAACUAUUCUGUUACUGACAUUGAGGCACGAAAGCGUGGGGAGCAAAACGG
RNAcentral lists this ribosomal RNA (256 nucleotides) under uncultured bacterium. RNAcentral's name for it is "partial 16S ribosomal RNA". It matches the Rfam family "Bacterial small subunit ribosomal RNA", at positions 524 to 776 of the family's 1533-position model. The record is from RNAcentral.